This 468-nucleotide ribosomal RNA is filed under the name uncultured bacterium. RNAcentral describes it as "partial 16S ribosomal RNA". It matches the Rfam family "Bacterial small subunit ribosomal RNA", at positions 28 to 507 of the family's 1533-position model. The record is from RNAcentral.
GAUGAACGCUGGCGGCGUGCUUAACACAUGCAAGUCGAACGGAAAGGCCCUGCUUUCGUGGGGUGUUGGAGUGGCGAACGGGAGAGUAAUACGUGAGUAACCUGCCCUGGACUUUGGGAUACCAUCAGGAAACUGGGGCUAAUACCGGCUAGUAGCUCCCGUUGCAUGGUGGGUGUUGGUAAGUUUCGGCGGUUGGGGAUGGACUCGCGGCUUAUCAGUAUGUUGGUGGGGGAGUGGCUUACCAAGGCUUUGACGGGUAGCUGGCCUGAGAGGGUGACCGGCGACAUUGAGACGGAGCUUACGCCCAGACGCAUACGGGAAGCAGGAGUAGGGAAUAUUGGGCGAAGCGCGGAAGCCUGAUGCCGCGACGCAGCGUGCGGGAUGACGGCCUUCGGGUUGUAGACCACUUUCGCCUGUGUCGAGACGUAAGUGACGGUAAUGGAUAAAGAAGCACCGGCUAACUACGUG